GUGCAAUCUUCGCCAGUGGAAGUCCAUUUGAUCCAUUUGAAUACAACGGGAAGCUCUUUGUCCCUGGCCAGUCCAACAAUGCCUACAUUUUCCCUGGGUUCGGUUUGGGUGUCGUAAUUUCUGGAGCAAUUCGUGUGCAUGACGACAUGCUUCUGGCUGCCUCGGAAGCAUUGGCUGCCCAAGUCUCUGAAGAGAACUACGACAAGGGAUUGAUCUACCCGCCCUUUACUAAUAUCCGAAAGAUCUCG
This 248-nucleotide unclassified non-coding RNA is filed under the name Hevea brasiliensis (rubber tree). Lineage: Eukaryota; Viridiplantae; Streptophyta; Magnoliopsida; Malpighiales; Euphorbiaceae. The record is from RNAcentral.